Molecule: long non-coding RNA, 2606 nt
Organism: Neopelma chrysocephalum (saffron-crested tyrant-manakin)
Lineage: Eukaryota; Metazoa; Chordata; Aves; Passeriformes; Pipridae
Exons: 4
Source: RefSeq, a predicted model, not a curated record
ACCUCAUCUUCAGAUUGUAUCACCCGUGGAAGGGGAGUUAGCAGGGAGAGAACUCUCCACAUGAGGUUCUCCUCUCCCUGAUGCAGCAGCUGGAGCAAAUAAGGUUCAUCGUGGGCAAACGUGAGCUCAUUGUGCCUCCACUCCAAGCUGGCAGAGCAGUCGGGGUGUUUGGGCUCUGAGUCAGUGCUGUGAUAACUCGCUCGCGUGACCUGCUAAUUGAAGUUUGAGAUCCUUCAAGAUACCAAACUGUGGCACAGACCUGCUGCUCCGAGUCCCGGCUGUCUCAGAAUCCAAACCUUUUCAAAUCAUAAAUUUUAUUGCAAAUCGUAGAAGGACAAUGUGGGGUUUGGGAGAGGCAGGCCCUGAACCCAUUCUCAGUAUUUGGGGUAAGUCACCUGCGCUCUGUGACAACAAGACAAGUUCAAGAAACACAGUCCUCAGCAAAGCCCUUUUAGAGUCAGCCACACAAAAAGGUGAAUCUUAAAGACAAAAGAAAAUGGUAUUAGGAGGGAAGAUGUGGCAAUGAACAGAGGCCUUAAUUUGAUGCCAGUGGGUAUCUCAGAGUAAGCAAUUUCCCCAAGGAUUGCCAGAGAUGCGAAAUGAAUUGUAAGAGCUGCUUUACAGGCAGUUGUGGGCACACACCUGCUCACAGCCAGGGAAAGACAGUGCGUAAAUGUCUGGAAUAUUACAUAAAAGCUGUCUGGGAGACUGGGCAGAGCAAUUAAAAUCCAUCUCGCUUAAAUGAACCCUGAGUGCGGGUCAAACAAAUCUAAUUUUUAUUGUUCCUUAAGGAGAUGUCUGCACAGGAGACAAAGGGGGGAUGCAGCCAUCAGGUUAAAAAAUCAAGAUGCCUUUAAAAAAUUAAAUGUUCACAAUAGUGCUACAGCAAGCUGGAUAAAUGAUAUAUUACAGCGAUGGUUUAAAACUAAUUGAUGACUAAUGUUGUAAUGCAUUUGUAGCUACACUGAUCUAUUAUAUAUCUCAGCCAAGCUGAAGGGACACUUCAAGGAGAAAAAUUGCUAACUGUUUUAACCUGAUGGAACUCGGGGAAAAAAUAGUUACUUUAGGAGAUAAAUGGAAAGGUUGUGACCUCCUAAUGUACAUCUGGGUCUUGCAAUGCAAAAUCAAAUUAUCAUUAAACAGAAUGUGAUUGGUGAUGGAAUUAAAACAACUGCAAACCAGAAAUUUCCGUGGGGAAGCAACAAUAGCCCAGUUUGAGCUGGGGGCACUGGCUGAAAAGCUGCCUGGAUAAAGAACUGGUGUAACAAGUUGGGAUGGAAUUGCUUUGCUCUAUAAUGAAAGUUGGUUUAAUUGGAGACUGCAGGAAAACAGCAAGCAUCUUUACAUCCAUUUACAUACGUAAGCCACUCUAUAAACAUUACUUAAUUAGUGUCUAAAUAAUUAACAAUUUACCCUAAGUUCUCAGUAACAUGUGUCUCUCUGGAUCUGGGAGGGGAGACAGAUGCUUCAUUUUCCCCUCCUCAUUUUUGUCAUGCCUGAGGCUCGUGCCCUCUGGGUUUUACCCUUACAGUUGGAAUUUGGAGAAGAUGUCAGUCAGGCUCUGCUUAUUUUCACAUCUAAUUCAUGCAAAAACCAGGUUUCCUCCCGAGGCAGUAAACUGGCCCAGAUUUGCUUCAAAGUUUGGCCCAGGUUCAGUGAAUGACUCACUUUAACUAAGGUACAUCCAUCUUCCUGGCUGGAACACACAAUGGGAAGUGUUGUCACAGAGCAGAUACCCCCUAGAACCUCUCAGGGAUUCAGGGGCUCAGAAACCAAAAGCAGUGGCUUGUUCCAUCCCCUGGUUUCCUGUUACCCAACAUUCAGGACAUUGGGUGAUUUCCAAAGCUUGGGGCUAAGUAGAUAAUCCUGUAUGUCCCAAGAUGAGGAGUUCUCAGGGUGUGCUGUGACGAUGGGGAGAAGGUAUCAAUGGGAACAUCCCAUGGUAUUUCCAUGAUUGCAACAGACUGUAGACUUCCCUUGUUCCAGAAACUUGGCCUUACUUAGGAGGAAACCCCAUAACUGUCCCUUAGAAGUUGAAUUGCAUCAGUGUGGGAUCACAUGGUGUCACAAAACUUCACUUAUUCUUAUGGCAUUGGCAGUGUGGUUUUGGAAGAAAAAUCCCCGUGCUGUCUGGAAUGCUCAACUGUUGGGUACCAGAGUCGGAAAACAUCCUGCCUGCCGUGAACGUUAGAAAACAGAGCAGCCCUGACUCGAGUGCCAAGUGGUUUUUUGGAAGGCUGACUCCCCUGAGAAUAAAGGAUAUUGGUGUCCAGCCAAGAGGGCAGGCAGGAACAGGCCGUGGGCAAGACACUGGAAUUUUGGAGCCUGAAAUACUGUAUGUUUGUUUGUAUCAGUUUCUGACUUUGGUAUUAAAAGGUGAGCUGCCCAAAUGGGUCACAAAUUGAUAAAAUCUGAAUUAUUUUUUUUCUAGCUAUAUUUAGAGCCGUGUAAAACAGGGAUUUCCCUUUUUGGCUGCUCAAGUAUCUGAGUGUAACUUAAUAUUUCUGUUAAAAACAGAAAAAGUCCCCCAAAGGAAAUUUCCUUUUUUUCCUAUGGUACACUCAAAAAUUCCUUCUUGUCGUUACAAAAAAUUCAAUUGGUUUUUA